RNAcentral lists this ribosomal RNA (314 nucleotides) under uncultured eukaryote. RNAcentral's name for it is "partial 18S ribosomal RNA". It matches the Rfam family "Eukaryotic small subunit ribosomal RNA", at positions 1470 to 1796 of the family's 1831-position model. The record is from RNAcentral.
CCCUUAGAUGUUCUGGGCCGCACGCGUGCUACACUGACCGGUGCAACAAGUUUCUUUCCUUGGCUCGAUAGGCCUGGGUAAUCUUUGAACACCGGUCGUGAUGGGGAUAGAUCCUUGCAAUUUUUGAUCUUCAACGAGGAAUUCCUAGUAAAUGCGAGUCAUCAUCUCGCGUUGAUUACGUCCCUGCCCUUUGUACACACCGCCCGUCGCACCUACCGAUUGAAUGGUCCGGUGAAGCCUCCGGAUUGCGCGGUUUCGGCUGUCGCGAGAAGUUGGCUAAACCUUACCAUUUAGAGGAAGGUGAAGUCGUAACA